This 498-nucleotide ribosomal RNA is filed under the name uncultured bacterium. RNAcentral's name for it is "bacterial SSU rRNA". It matches the Rfam family "Bacterial small subunit ribosomal RNA", at positions 25 to 518 of the family's 1533-position model. The record is from RNAcentral.
CAGGAUGAACGCUAGCGACAGGCCUAACACAUGCAAGUCAGGGGCAGCACAAGGAGCAAUCUGAGGUGGCGACCGGCGCACGGGUGAGUAACACGUAUGCAACCUGCCUGUAAGCGGGGAAUAACCCGUUGAAAGACGGACUAAUACCGCAUAAUACUAAAUUACUGCAUGGUAAUUUAUUUAAACAUUUAUGGCUUACAGAUGGGCAUGCGCAUGAUUAGCUAGUUGGAGAGGUAACGGCUCCCCAAGGCAACGAUCAUUAGGGGUUCUGAGAGGAAGGUCCCCCACACUGGUACUGAGACACGGACCAGACUCCUACGGGAGGCAGCAGUGAGGAAUAUUGGUCAAUGGACGAGAGUCUGAACCAGCCAAGUCGCGUGCAGGAAGAAUGUCCUAAUGGAUUGUAAACUGCUUUUGCAGGGGAAUAAAGUGCAUCACGUGUGAUGUUUUGUAUGUACUCUGCGAAUAAGGAUCGGCUAACUCCGUGCCAGCCGCUGC